Non-coding RNA from Ceratotherium simum simum (southern white rhinoceros), 752 nucleotides. The record is from RefSeq and is a predicted model, not a curated record. NCBI's taxonomy places the organism in Eukaryota, Metazoa, Chordata, Mammalia, Perissodactyla, Rhinocerotidae.
AAUAGGAGAUUUAGUGGUUGGAUGAUGUAAGGGCUGUGAGCUAUGGUUGUUUUAUAUGCAUAUUUAUUUCCCAGGACAUUCUGUGUGGCUCCCAUUAUGUGUGCUCAAUUAUUCGAAUUAAGAGUAACAUUAAGGAUUUGGGCCAAACAGCCAUUUAAUAUUAGUUCGUGGAACCAGUUUGCCAGGAGAUAACAGAUAUCUAAGAUUGUGUCCUUUGGUUGGGGGAAGGGGAAGUUCUUUUAAAAGUCUUCAUGUAUUUGAUAUUUUGCUUUUAUAGAGGGAAAAUAAUAGUAUAUAUUCUGUUUUCAAGCUUAAGGAAGUAAGUGGGUUUUAUGUGCAGGCUAGAAGAAACCUGAUAUCUUGUAUCAGUUUUCAGUUUUGUGCUUCCUAAGUUAUUUUACAAAAUUUGGGUUACCAUUAAAAUGAAAAUUUAAGUUCUGUAUUAAUACCCAUGGUCUUUAGAUCUGUAAAGGGACUUAAAUAAUUAAUCAUUAGAGAAAAAACAUGCUUUAAGAUUUUGGUGUAGAAAGAGAAGUGUACACUAGAAUUAGGUUUGUUUGUAUGUAAUGGGAAGAAAACAAUAGCUUAAGUAACACAGUAAGUCUGUUUCUCUCUCCUAUAGUGUCACCAGGGCCUCUGCAUCCUAUCUUUCUGUCCCCCCCCCUCAGCAAUAGAUUUCCAUCUUUACAGUCACUUUGUGGCCCAGAGUGCUGCUGGAGCUCCAGUCAUCUUGCUCAUAGUUCAGGAAGGAG